AGUUCUGUAGUGUAGUGGUUAUCACGUUCGCUUUACACGCGAAAGGUCCCCGGUUCGAGCCCGGGCAGAACUA
Molecule: non-coding RNA, 73 nt
Organism: Hydra vulgaris (swiftwater hydra)
Lineage: Eukaryota; Metazoa; Cnidaria; Hydrozoa; Anthoathecata; Hydridae
Source: the annotation of a RefSeq genome assembly